This 20-nucleotide unclassified non-coding RNA is filed under the name Mus musculus (house mouse). RNAcentral's name for it is "oocyte_clustered_small_RNA9298". The record is from RNAcentral. Lineage: Eukaryota; Metazoa; Chordata; Mammalia; Rodentia; Muridae.
UGACAACUCAGACAGGCCAU